UGUAAGCGUAUACCAAAGUUGUUGCAGUUAAAACGCUCGUAGUCGGAAUUUGGCAGUUCCGGAUGUGUGCACGUCGUGUGCGCACUUCGCGGGGAUUGCUUUUGUGGUCUUGCGUAGGACGAGGCACUUUUAUUAGUGAACGUCCUCACGCAACCACUUUUUACUGUGAGAAAAUCAGAGUGCUCAAAGCAGGCAUUUGCCGUGAAUGUAUUAGCAUGGAAUAAUAGAAUAGGACUUGGUUCUAUUUUGUUGGUUUGUUGGGACUGAGUAAUGAUUAAGAGGGACAGUUGGGGGCACUUGUAUUUCGGUGCUAGAGGUGAAAUUCUUAGAUUACCGAAAGACAAACUGCUGCGAAAGCGUCUGCCAAGGAUGUUUUCAUUGA
RNAcentral lists this ribosomal RNA (382 nucleotides) under uncultured eukaryote. Its description in RNAcentral is "partial 18S ribosomal RNA". It matches the Rfam family "Eukaryotic small subunit ribosomal RNA", at positions 592 to 976 of the family's 1831-position model. The record is from RNAcentral.